CAAAGAACGAACGAACAGAGCGGAGCGGCGGAGCGACGGUGCCAGUUGAGGAGGAACGAACGGAGGGGGUGCAGAGGCACGGCGGGUCUCGGUCUUCGUAAGGGAGUUUGUGGAGCACCCGCGGAGACUGGGGCGGAGGGAGGUACCGGCGCGGGAUCUCUGGAUCUGACAGCGCCGGCGAAGCCACGAGGCCGAGGUGGGUACGGCGUCACGGCGGAGGAGGACCGACGGCACCGGGAAAACCCCCGACACCGCCGCCGGCACCGCGUCGUCGGCGAGCGCAGCGGCAGCCUGGACCGCCCCGACAUGUCGGACGCCCGCAGCGACCCAAACGCCCGCGCCCUCACCGGGCGCUCCCGGCUGGGCACGUGCCGGACCCGCCCCCAGUACACGGCGCGGCCGGCGCAGCACCCGCAGUCGCAGCGCCCCAAGGCGGCGUGGGCGGAGCGCUCGGCGCGCGGCCGCAAGCGCCAGCUGCCCGACGCCUUGGAGUGUCGCGAGCUCGAGAAGUUGCGGAGGCCAAAGGGCGAGGGGCCGCUCCACGGGCGCACCAAGUCGGCGCUGGAGGGCGUCGGCGAGCGGCACGAGCUGGAGGCGAUGCGGCGUCAGUUACCGUGCGAGGGCGGGCUAGAGCCGAGUAGCCCCUUAGACUGAUCCGACGAGGAGAGGCCCUUGUCGGAGAGCCCGGUCCAAGGCCUCUGCGACGAGAGGCAGUUUCCGGAAGCGCAAGAACUGGAGAGGUGGUUGUUAAAGUGGCCCCUCGAUGGGUCGCAGAGCCAGCCGCGGCCACUACAUCGCCGCAGCAACAAAUUGUAAAGUCCCUUAAGAGACAUACCACACCGGUGACUACGGUAACCCCGUGAGUUCUGCUCUAAGGCCGACCACCUGCACAGUUCGUUGAUGGAGCUACCUUUAACCUUACCUAGGCUACGUUGCCACCUACAAUCGCACUUAACGAAGAGACCACAGAGGCCAGUCGCGGCGGUACAACUAACACUUCUGAAGAUAUCCUCCCUUCCCCACUCUGAACAACUAUAAGGUCACGGACGUGGAAACGGAGUCGGUAGUGGCCUCUUCUCGGCACCCUAGAGGUUUUUACAUGAAUAACCCCAAGAACGUCGGCGCCGUCGUAACUACCAAUACAAAAACCAACGUAACGAAAAGACAAACUACUCCUCCUCUGUUUCUCCUCCACCCUCUCCCCGCCUUUGUUUACUCCUUCCACGUGCGCCGUACGCAUCCUCCCUGUCGUCGCAUUUAGGACACCGGAGUAGUGGCCGUCGUCACAGGGGCUCUCGGCUACGAUGAGGAUUCCUGCGCUAAUGGCAAAAACCACUCAACUGGAUACUCGUUAACCAGGUACGGUGGCCCCCGAAACCACUACUGUUGGAGGAGUUCGUACCCGUAAGCCCCCUAUAAAUGGUACCACACAACCUCUUACCGCGUGUACAGUAGCAGUUCUUCUAACCAUGUUUCUCAUAGUUGUUUCAAAGUUCGCUUAACCUGAAGAUAAGCUCCAUGAGUGUACUCUCCUAACAAGGCAACGAGCCGGUAGACCGGUUGUUACUGCUUCUUAAAGACAGGAUGUUCAUAUACGGUUUCCGCCUGAACUGGUUACGUAACGUGUUCUUUGGACACCUGUGACUUCUACCGAACGUGAGUAACCUAACCUAUUGAUCUGACUUCUAGCGGUGACCACAUCGACUCCGGUACACGAAGGAAGUACUGCUCACGUCGGGUGGUAAGCAAGUGUCUCUAUAGGUUCGUUCGUCACACGAAGAACUACUAUUUAAACUUCACGCUGAGCCUUCAUACUCAUUGUAUACGCGAGUCGUUUCACGUCCUUCGGUCUUACAAAAGAGAGCCUAGAACUCUAGUAGUUUCAGAGAACUGUUCUUGUGUAGUCCGGGUGGUCGUUGAACAAGUAUGCUACAAAUGACGAAACCCUUCCACUAGGAACUCGAUCAUUGUCCGUUAAAACCACAUUCACCUAGUUUGCUACGACCGAGGCUCCUCACCGACCGCUUGUGUUGUUUAGCGUAGUCGUAGUCACUGUUCCUAUCGUAAUGAUUAUAGUAGCUAGGAAAUGAACAGCAACUACUCCUGGUAGAACUUCUUCAUACCCGUCACCGCUAGCAGCGUUUCUGCACGGAUUUGAGUUUCGGCAGUUCCGCAGGGAGACGAGCGAUGCAGAACUUUCGGGACCUCUUAGGCGACUCCCACCAGGCUCGCCCAAGGGCCAGGUUGAGGCGUUCCGAGUCCUCGAGCAGUAGCGCCUCGAGUACCGUCAGAUGAAAAGAAGUCCCGUCAGCAAUGGUCUCGAUGCUCCAGUACAGCGGUAGUCCCGCUUACGAACUAGCGUCUCCGAGCCAAUCCAGUGUAUAAUCACCCCCUCUUCGAAGGAGCAGGAAGUUCUCUAGAAACGCCCUCUAACGAGGUCUGGGCGUUCACGACCUGCUCCUGCAGCGACACAUCUCUUUUCUCUUCUAAAAUAGGCCUCAAAGAAAGUCUGCGACCACUAAGAAGGAAUGGACACAUAUUAACAGUAGCCUACACGUACCGAAGCCAAGGAGUUCCAGUCUUCACACGUAUUUUCUCUCCGAUUCAACACCCAAAAGGAAGUAACCGUGUACCUCUACCAUGUACUACAAAAGUCUCACGUGUAUCUCGUUGUUGUAAGUCAUACUGUGUUAAUUAAAGAAAAGUGGUUUAGUGUAACUAAAACUGUAUUAGACAUGAUCAAUCAAACUAAUUAAACUCUGUGCUAACAAGACCCAGCUUCCAACUUUUUUAUUCAGUUAAACUUAAAUAUAAAUAAAAAUUUAAAUAUUUAAGUUUACACUGGCAAAUCGUCAACCGGUACGGUCAAACGGAACGGAACAAAAAGAGAGAGAGAGAGAGAGAGAGUUCUUUUCGUCAAUUGGGCGUUUGUCAAGUUUUUUCUUUCUUUCUUUUUUGGGUUUGUCCUAUCUCGAUUUGGAGCGAGGUGGAAGGUGAGCAGAGGUUACCGGUGGUGGUGAGAGGGUGCGAGAGUGUAGGCGGACGUAGAGGGCGAGGUGUGGCGGUUGGGAAGGAUGGGAGCGACGACGGCGGAGGAAGGGAGGAGGCGGUAGAGUAGCGCAGAGGUCUUGGGGCGGUGUUGGUGACGGUGGGUGAUAGGGUAGGAGGGCGGGCGAGGUAGGGGAAGGGAGGAGCAGCGGCUCCUCCGGAGGGAGCGGGGCGCGGCGUGGGUGGCCAAGGGCCCGAGACAGCGCGGGGGCACGUAGGUCCUGAGGGCCCUCCUGGAGCUGCAGGGCCGGCUGCUACUGCAGGACGCCGCACGCGAGCUCCACGCGGCGCGACACCGGUGGCUCCGCGAGCACCGGCGCGAGUCGCCGCCGUUCCGGCCCCCGGAGUGGAUGCAGUUGUUGGAGUGAAGUGCCUACCCGCGGAAGCAGCUGGCGUAGCAGCAGCCUCGGCGGCGGUACGCCGCGCUGGCGGGGCUCGAGCGCGUGGUCAGGAAGUUGCGCGCCCGUGCCUGGAUGUAGGUCCUUAGCCCGCACCAGCUCGACCAGUUCACCAAGUUCGUGUUGAGUAACUGUAUAGGGGUUUAGCGCUUUCAUCAAACGAGGACAAGACCACUAGACCUCUUUCACUCUUCCUACGAUUUCACCAACUCUAGUUAAAUACACUUUCCUCAUAAAAACCCUGCACACGAACGCUUCCCACUUAGGGAAUACUCAGCGUCAAAACUUCUUAACCUUCUCUAAUGACCGAUAGACCUUACGACACCACAAUCUUCUCUGACCUAACCAGUGCACCAGUCAUCUACAGGUGUCGAUAACUUAAACAGGAACCUACUCAAUCUCUGUGCUCACGCUAAAAUAUGUCUAUACCCUUACUUACUCUUACUGAAACCGUGAUACCAGAUACUAAUAGGUUUUCAAGAACCCAAAAAGUCGGAUCUUCUCUACUUGUCAUUCCAAGUUAUAGACUUUCUCAAACCAAACUCGUGUCUUCUUGAACCUUUUUACGACCGAAUAUUCGGUGUCGAGUACCGGACGUCGUAACUUCUUUCCACCUUCGGUGAACACUUCAUGGAUAUAGUAGAUUUGUAAAGUGCCCUACCAUACUUCGCAUACAACCACCAGGUUGGAUGCUAAAAGACAGAACUAAAUCUCUGUCAUUAACGUGGUUUCCAUGCUAAAGAUGUCCUAUAACCACACUCCUUACUACGUCAGCCGUUACACGAUCACUUCAAGGGGGGACAUGAUUGAAUAUCAGACAUGUCCUUCAAUGCGGGUCACCAAUAUAAGGACUCCUGUUUUCGACCUCAUUGUCUCCUACUGUAACCCUUCCAGUAACGCAACCUGGGCGUCGAGUACCCGACGUCGUAGCGUGUGUUUGACCUUCGGUCGCAGUUCAUGAAAGCCAGUGACCCGUAGAUGGUGAACCACGAGCCGGUCUACCAACGGCUGAAGGGCUGCGAAGAGGCUAUGUUACACCUACAAGAUGCAGGUUUUAUGGUCAUGGAGUCCGCACAGUACCAUGCCGGCGACUUUCUAGAAUAGCUCAAAGGGGCCAAAAAGUCAAUGAGAAACCUCGUAUCCUAUCUCGGAGCCGUGUUCCAAGACCACCGGUUGUCCUAUUUGUACUUCGACGCCAUGUACGACGGACCAAGGCUACUCCUCAAACGCGUCUCCCACGUUCUCCGGCAGCUCUCCUCUCGCUCUAAGCUUCGGCCUCUUCGAUGAGGCCUCUGUAGUCCACGCGGGCUUUGUGGGUCGCCGUUACCUUUACCGCAUCGUCGUCGUCGUCGUACAGUUCUCUACCUCCGUCUAAUUCCGUCAUGGAACGUUCUUUGUUCUUAAGGUACAGGAACUGAACAUGCAUGCAUGCACAUGUAUAAGGACAAGGUGCAAACACCAACCGACACGAGUGACACUCUCGGAUAAACUAGGAAACACUGAGGUUUCAGGAUUCGGUUUAGCUGCCACCUAAGACG
Molecule: ribosomal RNA, 4984 nt
Filed under: Triticum aestivum (bread wheat)
Lineage: Eukaryota; Viridiplantae; Streptophyta; Magnoliopsida; Poales; Poaceae
Description: partial small subunit ribosomal RNA
Source: RNAcentral